This 76-nucleotide transfer RNA is filed under the name Anaerolineae bacterium. RNAcentral's name for it is "tRNA-Trp". It matches the Rfam family "tRNA". Rfam says of the family: Transfer RNA (tRNA) molecules are approximately 80 nucleotides in length. Their secondary structure includes four short double-helical elements and three loops (D, anti-codon, and T loops). Lineage: Bacteria; Bacillati; Chloroflexota; Anaerolineae. The record is from RNAcentral.
AGGCCUCUAGCUCAAUUGGCAGAGCAGCGGUCUCCAAAACCGCAGGUUGAGCGUUCGAGUCGCUCGGGGCCUGCCA